AACGCGAAGAACCUUACCUGGGCUAGAAAACGUGCGAACCUGGUAGAAAUAUAAACGCUCUUCGGAGCCGCUGAACAGGUGCUGCAUGGCUGUCGUCAGCUCGUGCCGUGAGGUGUUGGGUUAAGUCCCGCAACGAGCGCAACCCUUAUCGUUAGUUGCCAACAGGUAAUGCUGGGAACUCUAGCGAGACUGCCUGGGUUAACCAGGAGGAAGGUGAGGAUGACGUCAAGUCCGCAUGGCCCUUAUGUCUGGGGCUACACACGUGCUACAAUGGUCGGUACAGAAGGCAGCGAAACCGUGAGGUGAAGCAAAUCCCUAAAGCCGGCCCCAGUUCAGAUUGUAGUCUGCAACUCGACUACAUGAAGAUGGAAUUGCUAGUAAUGGCGAGUCAGCAACAUCGCCGUGAAUACGUUCCCGGGCCUUGUACACACCGAGUAUA
This 439-nucleotide ribosomal RNA is filed under the name uncultured bacterium. RNAcentral describes it as "bacterial SSU rRNA". It matches the Rfam family "Bacterial small subunit ribosomal RNA", at positions 958 to 1398 of the family's 1533-position model. The record is from RNAcentral.